This 2041-nucleotide long non-coding RNA is filed under the name Prunus persica (peach). RNAcentral's name for it is "long non-coding RNA (PPER_LNC007537)". Lineage: Eukaryota; Viridiplantae; Streptophyta; Magnoliopsida; Rosales; Rosaceae. The record is from RNAcentral.
UUUUUGACUCAUGUUUUGGCAGAUCUUUUGUGUCCAUUCGAAUCCUCAAUCUCUAAUGUGAACUCUCAUACUUUUUCCAAUCAAAUUGGACACUCCUAGCCUUUUAUGUGGCCAACCCUAGCUCAGGCUACAGACAAGUGUUGUUGAAUCAGUUUAGUUUUCUUGAUUCAUGUUUUGGCAGAUAUUUUGUGUCCAUUCGAAUCCUCAAUCUUUAAUGUGAACUCUCAUACUUUUUCCAAUCAAAUUGGACACUCCUAUUCUUGUAUGUGGCCAACCCUAGCUCACGCUACAGACAAGUGUUGUUGAAUCAGUAUAGUUUUCUUGAUUCAUGUUUUGGCAGAUAUUUUGUGUCCAUUCGAAUCCUCAGUCUCUAACGUGAAGUGUCAUACUUUUUCCACUCAAAUUGGAAACUCCUAGCCUUUGAUGUGGCCAACCCUAGCUCACGGUACAGACGGGUAUGGUUAAAUCAGUUCAAUUUUUUUGACUCAUGUUUUGGCAGAUCUUUUGUGUCCAUUCGAAUCCUCAAUCUCUAAUGUGAACUCUCAUACUUUUUUCAAUCAAAUUGGAUACUCCUAGCCUUUUAUGUGGCCAACCCUAGCUCACGCUACAGACAAGUGUUGUUGAAUCAGUUUAGUUUUCUUGAUUCAUGUUUUGGCCGACAUUUUGUGUCCAUUCGAAUCCUCAAUCUCUAAUGUGAAGUCUCAUACUUUUUCCACUCUAAUUGGAAACUCUUAGCCUGUGAUGUGGCAAACCCCAGCUCAUGGUAAAGACGGGUAUUGUUGAAUCUGGUCAAUUUUUUGGAUUCAUGUUUUGGCAGAUCUUUUGUGUCCAUUUGAAUCCUCUAUCUCUAAUGUGAAGUCUCAUAGUUUUUCCAAUCAAAUUGGACACUCCUAGCCUUUUAUGUUGCCAACCCUAGCUCACGGUACGGACGGGUUUUGUUGAAUCAGUUCAAUUUUUUUGAUUCAUGUUUUGGCAGAUACUUUGUGUCCAUUCGACUCCUCAAUCUCUAAGGUGAACUGUCAUAAUUUUAUCAAAGAAAUUGGAUACUCCUAGCCUUUUAUUUAGCACACUUUAGGUCACGGUACAGACGGGUAUUGUUGAAUCAGUUCAAUUUUUUUGACUCAUGUUUUGGCAGAUCUUUUGUAUCCAUUCGAAUCCUCAAUCUCUAACGUGAACUCUCAUACUUUUUCCAAUCAAAUUGGACACUCCUAGCUUUUGAUGUUGCCAACCCUAGCUUACGCUACAGACGGGUAUUGUUGAAUCAGUUUAGUUUUCUUGACUCAUGUUUUGGCAGAUACUUUGUGUCCAUUCGAAUCCUCAAUCUCUAAUGUGAACUCUCAUAGUUUUUCCAAUCAAAUUGGAAACUCCUAGCAUUUUAUGUAGACAACCCUAGCUCACGGUACAGACGGGUAUUGUUGAGUCUGUUCAAUGUUUUUUUACUCAUGUUGUGGCAGAUCCUUUGUGUUCAUUUGAAUCCUCACUCUUUAAUGUGAACUCUCAUACCCUUUCCACUCAAAUUAGACACUCCUAGCCUUUUAUGUUGCCAACCCUAGCUCACGGUACAGACGGGAAUUGUUGAAUCAGUUCCAUUUUUUUGACUCAUGUUUUGGUAGAUCUUUUGUGUCCAUUGGAAUCCUUAAUCUCUAAUGUGAACUCUCAUACUUUUUCCAACAAAAUUGGACACUUCUAGCCAUUUAUGUGGCCAACCCUAGCUCACGCUACAGACAAGUGUUGUUGAAUCAGUUUAGUUUUCCUGACUCAUGUUUUGGCAGAUAUUUUGUGUCCAUUCGAAUCCUCAAUAUCUAAUGUGAUGCCUCAUACUUUUUCCACUCAAAUUGGAAACUUCUAGCCUUUGAUGUGGCCAACCCUAGCUCACGGUACAGACGGAUAUUGUUGAAUCUGUUCAAUUUUUUUGACUCAUGUUUUGGCAGAUCUUUUGUGUCCAUUCGAAUCCUCAAUCUCUAAUGUGAGCUCUCAUACUUUUUCCAAUCAAAUUGGACACUCCUAGCCUUUUGUGUGGCCAACCCUAGCUCACGGUACA